GCAAAGCCCCCAUGACCUCCUCCGCCCUAAUGCGUCUGCAGUACCCAAUGUCUCUAUGUUGCUCUGAAUGCCCUAACUCCCUUAGCUCUAUUUUUCGCUCCCCCUCCUUAUUAAGUAAGUCUCGGUAGUAUGCCUUCCACCUCUGCUUGGCUUGAGACUCCCCCAUCAGAACUCUACCAUCCUCGCCCUUGAUGCACCUAACUUGGUCAAGAUCACGCGCCUUCCUUUCCCUUGCUUUAGCUAACCGGA
RNAcentral lists this long non-coding RNA (249 nucleotides) under Nicotiana benthamiana. RNAcentral's name for it is "long non-coding RNA (NBEN_LNC039874)". The record is from RNAcentral. Lineage: Eukaryota; Viridiplantae; Streptophyta; Magnoliopsida; Solanales; Solanaceae.